UACAGAGGGCGCAAGCGUUGUUCGGAAUUACUGGGCGUAAAGGGCGCGUAGGUGGUUUUCUAAGUUGCACGUGAAAUCCCUGGGCUCAACCCAGGAACUGCGUCCAAGACUGGGAGGCUUGAAUCCGGGAGAGGGAUGCGGAAUUCCAGGUGUAGCGGUGAAAUGCGUAGAUAUCUGGAGGAACACCGGUGGCGAAGGCGGCAUCCUGGACCGGUAUUGACGCUGAGGCGCGAAAGCCAGGGGAGCAAACGGG
This 253-nucleotide ribosomal RNA is filed under the name uncultured bacterium. RNAcentral's name for it is "partial 16S ribosomal RNA". It matches the Rfam family "Bacterial small subunit ribosomal RNA", at positions 524 to 776 of the family's 1533-position model. The record is from RNAcentral.